RNAcentral lists this ribosomal RNA (274 nucleotides) under uncultured bacterium. Its description in RNAcentral is "partial 16S ribosomal RNA". It matches the Rfam family "Bacterial small subunit ribosomal RNA", at positions 523 to 796 of the family's 1533-position model. The record is from RNAcentral.
AUACGGAGGGUGCAAGCGUUGUUCGGAAUCACUGGGCGUAAAGGGCGCGCAGGCGGUUUGGUAAGUCACAUGUGAAAGCCCACGGCUCAACCGUGGAAGUGCAUUUGAAACUGUCAGACUUGAGUACUAGAGGGGAAAGUGGAAUUCCCGGUGUAGAGGUGAAUUUCGUAGAUAUCGGGAGGAAUACCGGUGGCGAAGGCGACUUUCUGGCUAGAUACUGACGCUGAGGCGCGAAAGCGUGGGGAGCAAACAGGAUUAGAAACCCCAGUAGUCC